UACGGAGGGUGCGAGCGUUGUCCGGAAUCACUGGGCGUAAAGGGCGCGUAGGCGGCGCGGGGAGUCAACGGUGAAAGCUCGGCGCUCAACGCCGAGUCGGCCGUCGAUACUCCCGUGCUUGAGCACUGUAGAGGCAGGUGGAAUUCCGGGUGUAGCGGUGGAAUGCGUAGAGAUCCGGAAGAACACCGGUGGCGAAGGCGGCCUGCUGGGCAGUAGCUGACGCUGAGGCGCGACAGCAUGGGGAGCGAACAGG
Molecule: ribosomal RNA, 253 nt
Filed under: uncultured bacterium
Lineage: Bacteria
Description: partial 16S ribosomal RNA
Rfam family: Bacterial small subunit ribosomal RNA
Source: RNAcentral